Molecule: long non-coding RNA, 1310 nt
Filed under: Mus musculus (house mouse)
Lineage: Eukaryota; Metazoa; Chordata; Mammalia; Rodentia; Muridae
Description: LincRNA-Tnfaip3
Source: RNAcentral
GAUCUAUCCCAGUACUUCCUGCAAGACAGCAAUCUUCUGCACUGUGUCCUCUGGUAGCCUCUCUACUCUGUCUCCGUGUCUGCUUCAAUAACAAACAGCUGUUGCUGAGGCGUUGCUGUGGCGUUGCUGUUGACGUGUUACCUUCGAAAACUCCCUCCAGUCACAGGAGAUGCCUCUUCCAGAGCAUGGAUCAUCUAGGCAACAAGUGGCUCAGUUGCCAUAGAGACUCAGUAGGGUGAGGCGUGUUUGUUUGCUUGCAUCACGCCUUCUGGGAGUGCGACAAAGGCUCUUCUCUACGUCAUGAGUAACUGAUGUUUGGUAGGCUGUGGGUAAGCUUUAAUCAGCUGAUCAGUAGCGAUAAUAUCAAGGCCUCUGUUUGAUACGUUAAUAGUGACAGAUACACUUCCACAAUUAAUAACACAGUGUUCUCUUUGAGAGUCACAUUGUUUUGGUUGGGUAAGAAAGCAGGGCAUUUGCUAGGGUUGGGAGGAGGGUUUGCUUUCACAUAAACACAUACUCCGCAGUGCUUGUCACCACAAACUCCCUUGUUCCGAUUCUGAUCUUGACUUUCUGCAUAACCCUUUCUGAGGUCACAUGCCCUUUGGCAACUGUAGCAAGUGCUGUUUCCUGUUUCUAAACUCGCAGACAGCCACCAGUAUGUCUCAGUUGUCACUUUUAACCAGCUAUCAGUCCAGCUUGCUGUUGCUCUUUUAUCUGUAAGUGAGGCAGACUCUGGCCGUUAGGUGGUUGAUACAUUUGAUAAUCUUAAUUAAUUUGUCUACAUUUCCAUAGGACUCAAGACUCGAAAACAGAAAAGAGAGGAGAGGAAGAAACCUUCACAGGAGCUUAACCGGGUAGAGGGCAUCUAAGCCCAGCGCCUAUAUUUGCAGUACAGAGGAUGCAUCUCCUCUGUGAGAAGCCCCCUCUCCCAGAUGGUCAUCACUCCUGAAGCUCCCUUUGGUCUCCCGGAAAAGAAACUCCACUAUUGGACCCAGGUCUUCCAUUCUGCUUUGCCUGAGCUGCGUCUGCUUGCCUGCACAUGUUCUUCUUGAUUAAUAUGUGUCCUCAGCAGUGUGGUCCUAUAGCAAAACUCAGAACAUUGGUGAUGGUUCGGUGCUUCUCUCCUGUGUUCUGCAUGUUCCACAAGGCUGAUUCAGCCCUAAAGACACCACCGAAUUCUAUCAGAAAUUCAGAAAUGAUUAAGAUGUGGAGCCCUCCUAAGUGAAAGUCAGCAGACUAUCUUAGAAAAGUUCAUACAAGACAAUUGCUGUAACUUCGCCUUAAUAAAAUGUUUGAACUUUUAAAAAAAA